This 707-nucleotide ribosomal RNA is filed under the name Macrococcus sp. RNAcentral's name for it is "bacterial SSU rRNA". It matches the Rfam family "Bacterial small subunit ribosomal RNA", at positions 75 to 766 of the family's 1533-position model. Lineage: Bacteria; Bacillati; Bacillota; Bacilli; Caryophanales; Staphylococcaceae. The record is from RNAcentral.
AGUGCUUGCACUCUCUGAAGUUAGCGGCGGACGGGUGAGUAACACGUGGGUAACCUACCUAUAAGACUGGGAUAACUUCGGGAAACCGGAGCUAAUACCGGAUAAUAUUUAGCUUCGCAUGAAGCAAUAGUGAAAGACGGUUCUGCUGUCACUUAUAGAUGGACCCGCGGUGUAUUAGCUAGUUGGUGAGGUAACGGCUCACCAAGGCAACGAUACAUAGCCGACCUGAGAGGGUGAUCGGCCACACUGGGACUGAGACACGGCCCAGACUCCUACGGGAGGCAGCAGUAGGGAAUCUUCCGCAAUGGACGAAAGUCUGACGGAGCAACGCCGCGUGAGUGAAGAAGGUUUUCGGAUCGUAAAACUCUGUUGUAAGGGAAGAACAAGUACGUUAGUAACUGAACGUACCUUGACGGUACCUUACCAGAAAGCCACGGCUAACUACGUGCCAGCAGCCGCGGUAAUACGUAGGUGGCAAGCGUUAUCCGGAAUUAUUGGGCGUAAAGCGCGCGUAGGCGGUCUCUUAAGUCUGAUGUGAAAGCCCCCGGCUCAACCGGGGAGGGUCAUUGGAAACUGGGAGACUUGAGUGCAGAAGAGGAGAGUGGAAUUCCAUGUGUAGCGGUGAAAUGCGCAGAGAUAUGGAGGAACACCAGUGGCGAAGGCGGCUCUCUGGUCUGUAACUGACGCUGAGGUGCGAAAGCGUGGGG